RNAcentral lists this ribosomal RNA (484 nucleotides) under uncultured bacterium. Its description in RNAcentral is "partial 16S ribosomal RNA". It matches the Rfam family "Bacterial small subunit ribosomal RNA", at positions 30 to 507 of the family's 1533-position model. The record is from RNAcentral.
AUUGAACGCUGGCGGCAGGCCUAACACAUGCAAGUCGAGCGGAUGAAGGGAGCUUGCUCCUGGAUUCAGCGGCGGACGGGUGGGUAAUGCCUAGGAAUCUGCCUUGUAGUGGGGGAUAACGUCCGGAAACGGGCGCUAAUACCGCAUACGUCCUGAGGGAGAAAGUGGGGGAUCUUCGGACCUCACGCUAUCAGAUGAGCCUAGGUCGGAUUAGCUAGUUGGUGGGGUAAAGGCCUACCAAGGCGACGAUCCGUAACUGGUCUGAGAGGAUGAUCAGUCACACUGGAACUGAGACACGGUCCAGACUCCUACGGGAGGCAGCAGUGGGGAAUAUUGGACAAUGGGCGAAAGCCUGACCCAGCCAUGCCGCGUGUGUGAAGAAGGUCUUCGGAUUGUAAAGCACUUUAAGUUGGGAGGAAGGGCAGUAAGUUAAUACCUGGCUGUUUUGACGUUACCAACAGAAUAAGCACCGGCUAACUUCGUG